GACGAACGCUGGCGGCGUGCUUAACACAUGCAAGUCGAACGGAAAGGCCCUGCUUUUGUGGGGUGCUCGAGUGGCGAACGGGUGAGUAACACGUGAGUAACCUGCCCUUGACUUUGGGAUAACUUCAGGAAACUGGGGCUAAUACCGGAUAGGAGCUCCUGCUGCAUGGUGGGGGUUGGAAAGUUUCGGCGGUUGGGGAUGGACUCGCGGCUUAUCAGCUUGUUGGUGGGGUAGUGGCUUACCAAGGCUUUGACGGGUAGCCGGCCUGAGAGGGUGACCGGCCACAUUGGGACUGAGAUACGGCCCAGACUCCUACGGGAGGCAGCAGUGGGGAAUAUUGCACAAUGGGCGGAAGCCUGAUGCAGCAACGCCGCGUGCGGGAUGACGGCCUUCGGGUUGUAAACCGCUUUCGCCUGUGACGAAGCGUGGGUGACGGUAAUGGGUAAAGAAGCACCGGCUAACUACG
This 466-nucleotide ribosomal RNA is filed under the name uncultured bacterium. RNAcentral's name for it is "partial 16S ribosomal RNA". It matches the Rfam family "Bacterial small subunit ribosomal RNA", at positions 28 to 505 of the family's 1533-position model. The record is from RNAcentral.